RNAcentral lists this small RNA (125 nucleotides) under chicken gut metagenome. RNAcentral describes it as "Ribosomal protein L10 leader". It matches the Rfam family "Ribosomal protein L10 leader". From Rfam's summary of the family: This family is a putative r-protein leader autoregulatory structure found in B. subtilis and other low-GC Gram-positive bacteria. It is located in the 5' untranslated regions of mRNAs encoding ribosomal proteins L10 and L12 (rplJ-rplL). The record is from RNAcentral.
AAUCGAGUAUCACGCCGAAGACAGCAGGUGCCGGAAGGCAUAAGGCUUGUACGCCUGCCGAGGAAAAUACGUUCUUGAAGAAAGAAUCAGUUCCUCUUUGCGCGCGCAGAGAGGUUUUUUUCAUA